Lycium ferocissimum is the source of this 665-nucleotide long non-coding RNA. RefSeq lists it as uncharacterized. The transcript is spliced from 2 exons. The record is from RefSeq and is a predicted model, not a curated record. NCBI's taxonomy places the organism in Eukaryota, Viridiplantae, Streptophyta, Magnoliopsida, Solanales, Solanaceae.
UUAACUUACUGCCUUCAUAUGCUUGCUGCUGUUAAUUAGCCGUAUUCAGUGGCCUAUAUAGAAAGUAAGGACUUGACAGAAGAAUUCCCAUGCCCGAGGGACUCUAGGACAGACUGGAAAUCCCCGAGUACUUGAACGGAAAAGCUCCUGCAGUGUAAGCCUUGACCUACAUCAAUAUUUGAUUGUUCAAUUUACUUAUUUGUUCACUCAUUUAUGCCGUUGCCAUAUUAUUUUCAGGUCUGCUCAUUUAAAGUUGGAUAUUUUGAUGUUGUGGUUCAUUAUUUUACUCUUAAGGCCUAAAUCUUUGGUGGCUAGAGUGACCACUGUUAGGACAGUUAGGAUCUGUUGCCUGGAUCUUUGGGACUGUACAACAAUUCAAAUAGUUACAUCAUGAACUCUAAGUUUCUAACUAUGCCAUUGUGAAAGCUGUGAAAGUAGAAGGCGAAGAAUGAAGUAAAAUAUGUUAUUGUAAAGCUGUUUUAGAUCGACCUUCAAACGGAUCUACUGGUUCCAUAACCUUGAGCUUAGCCAGAAGACUAAGAAAGAUAUGGUGAUAUGUUUUAGUAGUAUUGUCAAGAAAAUGAAUUUCUUUACCUUUGUUCUUUACCAGUGGAAACUUUUUAAUAUAAAGUGACAAUCGACUGUAAUGGAAUUUUUGUUCUGUA